GACCCGACACAAGGACGCCGCCUGGUGGAUGGCUCGGCUUGGGCGCUGACGAAGGCCGUGACAAGCUGCGAUAAGCCCCGGGUAGGCGCAUGUAGCCGUUGAUCCGGGGAUCGCCGAAUGGGACUUCCUGCCAGCGGUAAACCGCUGGCGCUCCGGGCACGGAGCGGGAACCCCCCGAAUUGAAGCAUCUAAGUAGGGGGAGGAAAAGAAACCAAUAGGGAUUCCCUGAGUAGGGGCGACCGAAAAGGGAGUAGGGCAAACCGAACCCGUCGUGGAAACACGGCGGGGAUGUGGAGUUGCAGGGCCCGGCCACCGCCUCUUCAAGGAAGUCGAAGUGGCCUGGAACGGCCCGCCGUAGAGGGUGAUAGCCCCGUAGACGUAACUUGAAAGGCGCUGGGCUGGGUCCCCUGAGUACCACGGGUUGGAUAUCUCGUGGGAAGCUGGGAGGCAUCAACUUCCAACCCUAAAUACGUCCCAAGACCGAUAGCGCACCAGUACCGUGAGGGAAAGCUGAAAAGUACCGCGGGAGCGGGGUGAAAAGAGCCUGAAACCAGGCGGUUAGAGACGUGCAUGGCCCAAAAGGAUAGAUCCUCCUCGAAGGAACCCACGGCGACGGGUAGUACGAGAGGAGGGGACCAGGGUCAUGCGCUCCGUCCUGAAUCACGGGCCGGGGAGUUCAUGGCUGUGGCGAGCCUAAGGGGGUCAGCCCUGAAGGCGCAGGGAAACCGACAUGCCCGCAACCGGUCAGCCGGUGAGGGGCGGGGUCCGAAAAGGGCCUGGAGUCACAGCCAUGAGACCCGAAACCAGGCGAUCUAGCCCUGGGCAGGGUGAAGCCGGGGGAACCCGGUGGAGGCCCGAAAAGGUUCUGACGUGCAAUUCGUUCUCAUGACCUGGGGCUAGGGGCAAAAGACCCACCAAGCCUGGUGAUAGCUGGUUCCCCCCGAAGAAGCCCGCAGGCUUGCCCAGCGGGAGGUAGCUGGCAGGGUAGAGCACUGAUUGGGAAGUAAGGGGCGCUUAGCCUCGCUUCCCUCUCAAACUCCGAACCUGUCAGCGCCGUAGAUCGCUGGAGGCGGGUUCUAGGGGAUAAGCUCCUAGGCCGAGAGGGGAACAACCCAGACUGGGGUUAAGGCCCCUAAGUGCCAGCUAAGUGUUAACGAAAGGGCGUCCGCCACCUAAGACAGUGGGGAGGUAGGCUUAGAAGCAGCCACCCUUUAAAAAGUGCGUAACAGCUUACCCACCGAGGUGGCGGGCACCGAAAAUGGACGGGGCUAAGCUGGCCGCCGAUACCCCAGGGCACGGCCUGUGGCCGUGAUCCGGUAGGGGGGCGCGUCGGCUGGGUAGAAGCCGGGCCGUGAGGUCCGGUGGACCGGCCGAUGUUGCAGAUCCCGGCGGUAGUAACAGCGUUAGUCGGGUGAGAAUCCCGACCACCGGAGGGGCAAGGGUUCUUCGGCAAUGCGUCGUCAGCCGAGGGUUAGUCGGUCCUAAGGCUACGCGUAACACGCAGUAGCCGAAAGGGAAGCCGGUUUAUAUUCCGGCACCACGGGGGUACGUGCGGCGACGCAAGCCUCACUCCUGCCGCUUCGGGGUAGGCUGAGCAGGGUUGCCGCCCUGUUUAAGCGUAUAAGCCUAGGGAGAGCCGUAAUGGCGAGAACUAGGCGAAAGCGUGAAUAGCCCUCCUUUUUGGAGGGUUCAGCUGAGCCCCGGAGCCAGUGAAAAGGGAGUGGGGAAGGAUCCCCCGUGACCGUACCAAGAACCGACACAGGUGCCCCUAGGUGAGAAGCCUAAGGUGUGUCGGGUCCAACCCAGGCAAGGGAAAUCGGCAAAUUGGCCCCGUAACUUCGGGAGAAGGGGUGCCUGGGAUCCCCAGUUUAACUGGGGAUGCUAGGUCGCAGUGACAAGGGGGGCCGGACUGUUUAAUAAAAACACAGCUUCCCGCUAGCCCGAAAGGGUAUGUACGGGAAGUGAGUCCUGGCCAGUGGCGGUCCGUGAAAGCCGGGUUCAACCGGCCGAAGCGCCGCUAAACGCCGGGAGUAACUCUGACUCUCUUAAGGUAGCCAAAUGCCUUGCCGGAUAAGUACCGGCGUGCAUGAAUGGGUUAACUAGGUCCCCACUGUCCCUGCCUGGGGCCCGGUGAACCCACCUCCUGGAGAACGGUCCAGGGACCCCCAACGGGGAGAGAAGACCCUGUGGAGCUUUACUGCAGCCUGUACCUGAGGUAUGGUUAGAAAUGCAGAGCGUAGGCGGGAGCCGUCGAUCCCAGCCUCUCCGGGGGCUGGGGGAGGC
This 2283-nucleotide ribosomal RNA is filed under the name Candidatus Jordarchaeia archaeon. Its description in RNAcentral is "partial 23S ribosomal RNA". It matches the Rfam family "Archaeal large subunit ribosomal RNA", at positions 1 to 2264 of the family's 2987-position model. Lineage: Archaea; Promethearchaeati; Candidatus Jordarchaeia. The record is from RNAcentral.